Molecule: ribosomal RNA, 841 nt
Filed under: uncultured phototrophic eukaryote
Lineage: Eukaryota
Description: bacterial SSU rRNA
Rfam family: Bacterial small subunit ribosomal RNA
Source: RNAcentral
UUGANGAAAUAAANAUCGGCUAACUCCGUGCCAGCMGCCGCGGUAAUACGGGGGAUGCAAGCGUUAUCCGGAAUCAUUGGGCGUAAAGCGCCUGUAGGUUGUUUAGUAAGUCUGUUGUUAAAGACUAGGGCUUAACCCUAGAAAAGCAAUGGAAACUACUAGACUAGAGUAUGGCAGGGGUAGAGGGAAUUUCUAGUGUAGCGGCGAAAUGCGUAGAUAUUAGAAAGAACACCGGUGGCGAAAGCGCUCUACUGGACCAUUACUGACACUCAGAGGCGAAAGCUAGGGUAGCAAAAGGGAUUAGAUACCCCUGUAGUCCUAGCCGUAAACGAUGGAUACUAGAUGUUGCGUUUAUUAUGCAGUAUCGUAGCUAACGCGUUAAGUAUCCCGCCUGGGGAGCACGCUCGCAAGGGUGAAACUCAAAGGAAUUGACGGGGGCCCGCACAAGCGGUGGAGCAUGUGGUUUAAUUCGAUGCAACGCGAAGAACCUUACCAAGGCUUGACAUACUACAAAUUUUUCUGAGAAGAAAAAGUGCCUUCGGGAAUGUAGAUACAGGUGGUGCAUGGCUGUCGUCAGCUCGUGUCGUGAGAUGUUGGGUUAAGUCCCGCAACGAGCGCAACCCUUGUUUUUAGUUGCCAAUUUAUUGGGUUUUCUAGAAAGACUGCCGGUGACAAACCGGAGGAAGGUGAGGAUGACGUCAAGUCAGCAUGCCCCUUAUGCCCUGGGCUACACACGUGCUACAAUGGCUAGGACAAAGAGUUGCGAGCUCGCGAGAGUCAGCUAAUCUCAUAAACUUAGCCUAAGUUCGKAUUGUAGGCUGCAACUCGCUNCCAUGAAGAA